UGGGGAAUUUUGCACAAUGGGGGAAACCCUGAUGCAGCGACGCCGCGUGAUUUAGAAGGCCUUUGGGUUGUAAAAAUCUUUUUUACGGGAUGAAAAUGACAGUACCGUAAGAAUAAGGUCCGGCUAAAUACGUGCCAGCAGCCGCGGUAAUACGUAUGGACCGAGCGUUGUCCGGAAUCAUUGGGCGUAAAGGGUACGUAGGCGGCCUAGUAAGUUAGAAGUGAAAUAAUAUAGCUCAACUAUAUAAAGCUUUUAAAACUGCUAGGCUUGAGGGAUGGAAGGGAAAGUGGAAUUCCUAGUGUAGCGGUGAAAUGCGCAGAUAUUAGGAAGAAUACCGGUGGCGAAGGCGACUUUCUGGUCAUCAUCUGACGCUGAGGUACGAAAGCGUGGGUAGCAAACAGG
RNAcentral lists this ribosomal RNA (402 nucleotides) under bacterium. RNAcentral describes it as "partial 16S ribosomal RNA". It matches the Rfam family "Bacterial small subunit ribosomal RNA", at positions 355 to 776 of the family's 1533-position model. The record is from RNAcentral.